Molecule: ribosomal RNA, 487 nt
Filed under: uncultured bacterium
Lineage: Bacteria
Description: bacterial SSU rRNA
Rfam family: Bacterial small subunit ribosomal RNA
Source: RNAcentral
AUUGAACGCUGGCGGCAUGCCUAACACAUGCAAGUCGAACGGUAACGCGGAGAGCUUGCUCUCUGGCGACGAGUGGCGGACGGGUGAGUAAUACUUAGGAAUCUACCCAGUAGUGGGGGACAACAUUCGGAAACGGAUGCUAAUACCGCAUACGCACUACGGUGGAAAGUGGGGACCUUCGGGCCUCACGCUAUUGGAUGAGCCUAAGUCGGAUUAGCUUGUUGGUGAGGUAAUAGCUCACCAAGGCGACGAUCCGUAGCUGGUCUGAGAGGACGAUCAGCCACACUGGGACUGAGACACGGCCCAGACUCCUACGGGAGGCAGCAGUGGGGAAUAUUGGACAAUGGGCGCAAGCCUGAUCCAGCAAUGCCGCGUGUGUGAAGAAGGCCUGCGGGUUGUAAAGCACUUUCAGUAGAGAAGAAAAGCCUAGGGUUAAUACCCCUGAGUCUUGACGUAACCUACAGAAGAAGCACCGGCUAACUCCGUG